This 397-nucleotide ribosomal RNA is filed under the name uncultured bacterium. RNAcentral's name for it is "partial 16S ribosomal RNA". It matches the Rfam family "Bacterial small subunit ribosomal RNA", at positions 523 to 918 of the family's 1533-position model. The record is from RNAcentral.
AUACGUAGGGGGCGAGCGUUGUCCGGAAUGAUUGGGCGUAAAGGGCGCGUAGGCGGCCUGUUAAGUCUGGAGUGAAAGUCCUGUUUUCAAGAUGGGAAUUGCUUUGGAUACUGAUGGGCUUGAGUGCAGGAGAGGUUAUCGGAAUUCCCGGUGUAGCGGUGAAAUGCGUAGAGAUCGGGAGGAACACCAGUGGCGAAGGCGGGUAACUGGACUGCAACUGACGCUGAGGCGCGAAAGUGUGGGGAGCAAACAGGAUUAGAUACCCUGGUAGUCCACACUGUAAACGAUGAAUGCUAGGUGUAAGAGGUAUCGACCCCUUUUGUGCCGCAGUAAACACAGUAAGCAUUCCGCCUGGGGAGUACGGUCGCAAGAUUAAAACUCAAAGGAAUUGACGGGG